CUGUCCUAAGGUUGUUGAGUUG
RNAcentral lists this microRNA (22 nucleotides) under Gorilla gorilla (western gorilla). RNAcentral's name for it is "ggo-miR-676". Its record names the gene ggo-miR-676. RNAcentral also lists the same sequence under 1 other name. The record is from miRBase by way of RNAcentral. Lineage: Eukaryota; Metazoa; Chordata; Mammalia; Primates; Hominidae.